GCAACAGCCAAAGGACUCUGAAAUAUCUUCAAUUCUUCACUUAUUCAGGACUUGAUGAGAAAUCAUUAAGUGAAUGGACUUCAGGGGGAGUAUGGUCACAAGGCUGAAACUUAAAGGAAUUGACGGAAGGGCACACCAGGAGUGGAGCCUGCGGCUUAAUUUGACUCAACACGGGAAAACUUACCAAGACCGAACGGUGUAAGGAAUGACAGGUUACUGGAUUUUUCAUGAUUCAUCGGGGAGUGGUGCAUGGCCGUUCUUAGUUCGUGGACUGAUUUGUCUGGUUAAUUCCGAUAACGAACGAGACUUGAACUUAUUAAUUAGUUGGG
Molecule: ribosomal RNA, 329 nt
Filed under: Entamoeba coli
Lineage: Eukaryota; Evosea; Mastigamoebida; Endamoebidae
Description: SSU rRNA
Rfam family: Eukaryotic small subunit ribosomal RNA
Source: RNAcentral